This 1256-nucleotide long non-coding RNA is filed under the name Anser cygnoides (Swan goose). Its description in RNAcentral is "lncRNA (ENSACDG00005002912.1)". Lineage: Eukaryota; Metazoa; Chordata; Aves; Anseriformes; Anatidae. The record is from RNAcentral.
UUCUGUUACUGCUCUUUCACCUCAGUGAAUAACAUCCAAGAUUCAUUAAAGACUUUCUGCCUAACAGGGGGGGAUGCUCUGCACAGGGGCCAAGGGAAGGUGGGGGAAGAGACCUGCUCUGAGCACCUUUUCCGCAGCCUGGCUGCACACAUGCCCACCCAGAGGGCAUCCCGAGGGAACAGCCUGGAGGCCCUUCUUGCCCCUCCUGUUACGUGGAACCUAGUUCCUGGCUCUUACUGUCCCAAUCAGCUUCUAGAAGUUCUUGCACGGCGACAUAGCUUCAGAAAGAAGCCGAAGAAUGGCAGAAAGCCUGUUGCCAGUCAGGAGGAGGGAAGGCCCGUGUCCUCAGGCAGAGGACAGAGCUGAGUGAACUCUCUCAUGCCCUGGCCGAACGCUCCCAGCAAUAAGCCACGGAGUUAAAAGCGUACAGUGACGGCUGACCACCGCGUUUUAAAACCAGUCACGGCAGCCGCUGCCGCAUUUCGGACAGCCACAGCUAGAAGGACGCCUGCAUCAAAGCUCUCGCGCAGCGGAGCCGAAGGGGAUGCCGACUGCCCAGCGCCGCCCGCCUCCCCGCACCGCUGGGGGACGGAGCUCCCCGUGAGCUCUGCAGAAGCGGCGCUCAGCGCCCGGCCCGGCCCGGCCCGGCGCCCACCUGCCCGCGGCUGCGGCUCCCUCAGCGAGCGGCCCCGGGCCACCCGCGCCACGCCGCCGCCCCCGCUCACCUCCAGCGGCCCGGCCCGGCCCCGCCACCCGCCCGCCGGCCCCGGCCGUUAACGGAAACCCCGCGGGCCCGGCUCGGGGCCGCACCUCCCCGGGCACGGCCGCUCCCGGCCGCGUUUCCCAGCCCCGCGGGGUGGCUGCGGGUAGGGGCGAGCAGAGCGGCCGGCCCCCGGCACGGGCCGGGAGAGCCCGGUGCGGAGCCGGGAGCCCGCAGCCCGGGGCCGGCCGUGCCCAGCUCCAGCGGCAGGGAAGCAGCGGGGGCCCGGGGUGUCGGCGGGGUGGUGGGCGGCGUGGCGCGGCGACGGAAGCCGAAGGAAAGGAGAAAGGCACGCAGGAGGAGUCGGCAGGGGUUAACCGCCGGCAGUGCCUUACACAAAGCAGUACGCUUGUGCCUACAGAAGAAGUUGGGAUUGAAGGACAGUUCUGUGGCUGAGCUGAUUUAUUUGCCCGUUACAGUAAUUCCUGAAGAGGAAUCUAAACUACAGGAAUGAAAAGAGGUCUAAAAAAGAGAAGGCAUUUUUAUUACUAUAUAG